GUCGGGAUAGCUCACUGG
Molecule: transfer RNA, 18 nt
Filed under: Chorilaena euphemiae
Lineage: Eukaryota; Viridiplantae; Streptophyta; Magnoliopsida; Sapindales; Rutaceae
Description: Rhadinothamnus euphemiae partial tRNA-Phe
Source: RNAcentral